ACUAAUAAUAGGAUUUAUUGGCUUAUCACGUGUAACCAAUAGGUGGCGCUGUUACCAAAUUAGUUUGGAAUGGUCAGUGUGAGGUGACGAUGACACAUACAAAGUUUGGUGCAAAUAUGUCAAAGCUUUGCUGAGAUACAGCCUCAAAUGCAUUUUGGAACCCUUCCAGCAGCUUCGUUGAUGCGCUAAAUGAGAACAGUUUCGUAUAUCGAAACGAAAUCCAUAACAUUUUGCCAGCAUGGUCUGAAGAUGAUCCACGUCAAAUUUGGUGAAAAUCUGACUAACGGUCUAGGAGGAGUUCGAAAAAGUAAGUUUUCAACAUUAAUCAAAAUGGCGGACAGGAAGUUCAGCCAAAUAAGGAAAACUUUGUAUCUAUGUUCUCGACUUGACCCAAGGAAUCUAAAAAGACCAGCGUCAUGUCAAUAGCCAGAUUUAUUCAAAAGUUAUUAGCCUUUAUUUAAAUUGAGUUAUAACUGUUGACCACUAGGUGGCGGUGUUUCAAAAUAUUUUGAGUACCUUCAGGGGAUGGUGUUGUUGGCACAUUCUGAGUUUCGUAAUAUUACAUCAAUGCAUUUGUUUAGUAUUGCAUUUUAUUUCACAAAACUGUAUUGAAGUCAAUGAUAAUUUCAUAUUUUGUUCUAUUAUAGCGCCACCAAGAGGCUCAGUCCCACCAUUUCUUUUUAUGUGUGCUCAGAGUGAGCCCAUACAUAUGUGUGUCAAUUUUGGUGAAAAUAUCUCAAUUCACUUCAGAGUUAUAGACAUUUAUAUGAAAAAGCACGUAAAAAAUGACUGACUCUUGACUUUGAUUGAAUAUUACUACACCUUACCAUCAAUAUUUUGGCAUUUGGGCAUUGGCAUAUAGCUAUCGACCUAUGUUUCCGAACUUCUGACGGUGGUUUCGUCUCGAUCAGACAAGUGGUUUCGAAGAUAUAGCCAGAUGUUUUUUAAGCGCUAAAUCACAACGCUACACAAACCGUAAGGCGAAACCUAGCAUGUUUGGUAUCGUAGGACUCUGUAAGGUUUCAGGAGUCUAAUUUGGUGAGUCUCGAGAAAAUAAGUCGACCACACCCAAGGUU
Molecule: long non-coding RNA, 1076 nt
Organism: Carassius gibelio (silver crucian carp)
Lineage: Eukaryota; Metazoa; Chordata; Actinopteri; Cypriniformes; Cyprinidae
Exons: 3
Source: RefSeq, a predicted model, not a curated record